Long non-coding RNA from Triticum aestivum (bread wheat), 2683 nucleotides. RefSeq lists it as uncharacterized. The record is from RefSeq and is a predicted model, not a curated record. The transcript is spliced from 4 exons. NCBI's taxonomy places the organism in Eukaryota, Viridiplantae, Streptophyta, Magnoliopsida, Poales, Poaceae.
GGAGCGGCUGGCCGGGCGAGGGAUAGCGAGCUCAUCAUCCGAGAGGGAGCCGCCCGUCGCCGCCGGCGAGGAUCCAGCGGCGCCCGCAAAGGGAGAAAAGAGGACGAAGAAGAGGAAGAGGCUGGUCUUGCCGCAGUUCCACCUGGACUCGCUUGCUUGCUUGGGCUGUCGACAUCUUCAUGGAAGAAUGGAUCAAGAAUAGACACAGGACUGGGUUGCUCUUGCUUUUCACAGUUUUCCUCUUGUGAUGUUGGUCCAAGUGAUGCGCUUCGUCUGGGAGUUUCUGGCUCUUGGUGCUCUAGCAUCUUGACAACAUUCUCAGGGGAACCUGGAUAAAUCUCAGCAUGCUCUUUACUUGGUUCUGCUGCUUCUUUCGUUUCCUUCAAUGCAGACAUUCAAAAUUUUCAUUAAACUAGCACAUCAAUGGAAACUAGAUGAAAUAGCAAUAAAUAUUGUCUUGAACAUACUGGGGGUGAGUUAUAUUUGUGUUGCUCUGCUGGAAUGCAUUGCGCAUUCCGAAUUGCUUGCGAGUGAUCCAGAUUGUCAGUUUCUUCAAUACAACCAGUAUCAGGUUCAACGUCUGCAAGUAUUCAUAUUCUAUUAAUAUAAUAUCCAUGUAGUAUUUGAUAAUUUUGCAUCCUGUAAUCACUCACCUUGUUGCGUGUCUUCUUCCUUGUAAUAAUAUCUUUCUCGAUCCGCUUGUUCAACCGUUGCUUCACUAGGACCACAUUCAACACUCCCUGAAUCUCCCUCUGUUUUAUUUCCUUCUUCUGCAGAUUCUUCCCCCUCAGCCUUGUGUAUGGCACAAAUAUUUUUAUCUUCCUGUGAAUGUUCAAUAUACUCUUUUACCCUUGGGGUAUUCCCAGGUGAUGAUGGGGUACUGCAUUGAGGGAGGGAAAGCAUUCCUACCAAGGACCUUGAGACCUGAACUGCUGGACUUGGAUACUUGCCAGUAUGAGUAUCGUCCUUCAGAAUUUCUGUUAAAUGUUUUUUGGCUUCUGCGUAGAAGUUGGAUGCAUCCUUUGAGGUAGAUAAGUCGCUGUUGAAACCACCUACUGAAUGAUUUAUUUGCUUGUGUUUACUGCUGUUUGAAGGUCCAACAUCAUUUUUAUCAGUAGCUGGAGGGGCCUGUCUGGAAUCCUUUAUAAUUGUAAAUGAAUCUCUGAGCAAACACGGAUCUCUUUGUACAUCAUCUUCGUUCAUUGGGGGUCUUCCUUUUCUAGUUUCUCCGGUCACGAUUCUGAAUCUUCUCCUGACUUCCUUAACUGAAAAUGUUGAACAUUCAGCUGCACUGUAUUCUGGAGCUUGAAUUCCACCUGUUUGCCGAUGGAAGGAUGUCGAUGCAGUUGCUUCUGUAGGAUCAAAUCCUCUCCUUGGAUUUGGCUUCAGUAUUACUAUUUUGUUAACAGGCUGAGAAGACCUUCCUUCUGGUGCAUGUGUUCUGCUUGAUUUAUCUUUCUUCCAGAAGAAUAUAUUCCUGCUCUCUUUAUUCUUUGUUUUGAUAGCCAACUCACGCUGAUUUGAAGCCUUUGUAUCUUCGGCAAUGUUAGUUUUUUCAAGCAUUUUCUUGGGCUCUAGCCUGGCCCCUACAUGUCUGUUGCAAAUAUAUUUGUUGUCAACAAGCUGCUUUUCCUCGCUCACCGGUGUUUUCUGAUAAUCAAGGUCACGGGGAGGAUUGUUAUACUCAUUAAGCUUUGUAUGGAUAAUGGACUCUAAUUCAGGGUAUAGUUCACUCUUAUUCCUGCAAUCAUCAUGCGGCCCUUCAUCAUGGUACUUAUAGACUUGUCCCAGGAAAUCUGACAAAGCAAGCUCAAGGCCAUCUUCUUCCGCCUGUUCCAUGCAUUUUGAACCACUGGGAUCCAGGGACCCAGAGGAGGAAGCAAUGCCUAUGUCUGCGCUGGGAUCUGUGACUCCCUUUGGUUUGCUGUUCGGCGUUGUUCUUUUGUCCAGACAGACAUCAUGUCCCAGGUCAGCCAAUAUCCUUUGAACCUCGUCGUUUGGGAUCUUCUUCGAAUGUUUUGGCUUGCCAACCUCGCCCUCCAUGAGUCUUUUGACAGUUGGUUUCGUAGUGCUGCAUUCCUCCGUGUUCUGAGAAAUACAGGACCAAAACAUCAGUUGUCUCCAGGAAACAAGUUUCGACAUGCAGCGUAAAUAUUACAACAAUAGAAAAGCUUGAACAGAGUCUGUACUGCAUCAAGAGGACUGAAUGAUGGUAGUUCAGUACAAGCCCAUACACAAGAAGCAGUACCAGCAAAGCCACUGAAGGAGUGCCUUCUGCUCCCUUGCUUCCUGUCGAGGAUAAGCUUGGGGUCGCGGCGGGAGUAGAACAUGCGGAUGAGGCCCCAGGUGCACCCAACAUUGUUCUCUUGGAUUUGUGAAGCCCGUCUGUGGCUCGUCUUCCCCAUUCUCUCGGUGGUUUUCUUCUACCUGCACUCUGAAGGUGAAGUACCUGGCAGAAGUAUGAGUUGUUCAGUUCAUGGUGCUAAUCCUCAGCAAACGUGAAGUACCCGGCAGCAAGCAAACGUGGUUGCAGAAAAUGCAUGUGUCUACUCUGCAGUUAAAUCAACUAAUCACAGAAGAAACGGAGCUGGGGAUGCAAAGCCACCGCAGAGACAACUUGUAUCAUUAUGGUUAGAAAACAAGAGGGAAACCCAGCCAGCAAUAUUACAAGGCAAGAGUAUAA